ACAUAAUGUCAUGUAUUGUAUAGUUGCAAAGCAACAUUAUCAACUGAAAUUGGUUCAGUUUUGGUUUAUUCGAUAGCGAUGGUUUAUCGUUGCUUAUAGAUAUACAUUAAAUUCCUGUCUAUGGCCUACCUUCCCAACUUCCCACCUACAAUAACGCCUGCACCCACGUGCGAAGUAUGGCCGUUCUUUCAUUAAAAUUACCGUUUUAAGAUGAAAUAAUAAUUUAACCAAGAUAAGUUAAUACAUUUUUAAAAUAAAUAACAACCUAAUAAUAAUAAAUAUAAUAGAAAAAUUACAAAAUUAAUAACAACAAUAAUAGUAAUACUAUUUAUACAUUUUAUUUACAUACCUUUUUGUAUAAGAUAUUUAUGAUGUUUUAAUCUAUUACUUACCACUAUGAUAGAAUCGUAUUAGUAUUAUUUAUUAUGAUAUGGACUAUAGAUAAUAUAUUUUGAACUUCACGUAAUAACCACUUUGACUUUUAUUCUUUUUCACAGUGCUACCGAGUCAAUACGAUUUCUAUAACUUUUUAACAAAAAUAUUUUAUGAAUAUAUAUAUAUAUCUUCUUUUUUUUUUUUAAGAAAACGAAUACGCUAGGGAAUAUAUAUUAUGGAUCAUCCUUGGACUAGUUUUUUUUUAUUAUAAAUAAUUUAAUUACAUCCCCAAGUUAGAUGAACAAAAUAAUAUUUCAUUAUUGAUACCUACCUACCCACCCACUAACAUUAUAAAGUGACCGUAUACCUAGGUUCUCGUGUCGUGAACGCACGCGAAAAUAUCGAGUUCAAUAAUGACAUCUAUAAACUAUAUGUAUAUAAUAUGUAUGAUGAUUUAUAUAUUUAGUCCUUAGGAUAGCUUUUAAAUGGUAAAGUACUUAAAUAUAUAGAUCGUUUAAUAUGACCUCGAAGAGACCAAAAAUACAAUAAUUAUAUCUUAGCCGGUAUU
This is a non-coding RNA of Cinara cedri, 943 nucleotides long. NCBI's taxonomy places the organism in Eukaryota, Metazoa, Arthropoda, Insecta, Hemiptera, Aphididae. The record is from the annotation of a GenBank genome assembly.